GGUGAAAAGCACCCCGGCGAGGGGAGUGAAAUAGAUCCUGAAACCCUGCGCUUCCGGCCGGUCGGAGCCCCCACGAUUAAGUGAUGGGGUGACGGCGUGCCUUUUGUAGAAUGAGCCGACGAGUGAGCCGUGCGAGCGAGGCUAAGCCAGGGACAGGCGGAGCCGGAGCGAAAGCGAGUCCGAAAGGGCGGCAAGUUGCGUUCAGUUGACCCGAAACCGGGUGAUCUACCCUUGGGCAGGGUGAAGCGCGCGGAACACGCGCGUGGAGGCCCGAACCCGUGUCUGUUACAAAAGGCAGGGAUGACCUGAGGGUAGGGGUGAAAUGCCAAGCGAACCCGGAGAUAGCUGGUUCUCCUCGAAAGCUAUUUAGGUAGCGCCUCGUAUGAAUCUUCUUGGGGGUAGAGCACUGUUAUGGCUAGGGGGUCAUGGCGACUUACCAAACCAUUGCAAACUCCGAAUACCAAGACAGAAUGUACGGGAGACACACGGCGGGUGCUAACGUCCGUCGUGAAAAGGGAAACAACCCUAACCAUCAUCUAAGGCCCCCAAGUACUGGCUAAGUGGGAAACGAUGUGGGAUUGCUUUGACAAUCAGGAGGUUGGCUUAGAAGCAGCCAUCCUUUAAAGAAAGCGUAACAGCUCACUGGUCUAA
RNAcentral lists this ribosomal RNA (651 nucleotides) under Pycnococcus provasolii. RNAcentral describes it as "partial Bacterial large subunit ribosomal RNA". It matches the Rfam family "Bacterial large subunit ribosomal RNA", at positions 513 to 1153 of the family's 2925-position model. The record is from RNAcentral. Lineage: Eukaryota; Viridiplantae; Chlorophyta; Pseudoscourfieldiophyceae; Pseudoscourfieldiales; Pycnococcaceae.